GAUGAACGCUGGCGGCGUGCCUAAUACAUGCAAGUCGAGCGAACGGACGAGAAGCUUGCUUCUCUGAUGUUAGCGGCGGACGGGUGAGUAACACGUGGAUAACCUACCUAUAAGACUGGGAUAACUUCGGGAAACCGGAGCUAAUACCGGAUAAUAUUUUGAACCGCAUGGUUCAAAAGUGAAAGACGGUCUUGCUGUCACUUAUAGAUGGAUCCGCGCUGCAUUAGCUAGUUGGUAAGGUAACGGCUUACCAAGGCAACGAUGCAUAGCCGACCUGAGAGGGUGAUCGGCCACACUGGAACUGAGACACGGUCCAGACUCCUACGGGAGGCAGCAGUAGGGAAUCUUCCGCAAUGGGCGAAAGCCUGACGGAGCAACGCCGCGUGAGUGAUGAAGGUCUUCGGAUCGUAAACUCUGUUAUUAGGGAAGAACAUAUGUGUAAGUAACUGUGCACAUCUUGACGGUACCUAAUCAGAAAGCCACGGCGAACUACGU
RNAcentral lists this ribosomal RNA (495 nucleotides) under uncultured bacterium. RNAcentral's name for it is "partial 16S ribosomal RNA". It matches the Rfam family "Bacterial small subunit ribosomal RNA", at positions 28 to 506 of the family's 1533-position model. The record is from RNAcentral.